Molecule: non-coding RNA, 834 nt
Organism: Paramormyrops kingsleyae
Lineage: Eukaryota; Metazoa; Chordata; Actinopteri; Osteoglossiformes; Mormyridae
Source: RefSeq, a predicted model, not a curated record
GUUACUAUAUUUACGUUCUUACAUUUAUUUACCAUACUGAUUUUAUUACUUGUAAUCCAUUUCAGAUUGAUUGGAGCAAAAUGGCUCAGCUUUUACCAAUGUACAUGAUUGCAGGCCAGUCUAUUUAAGAUGCACUUUUGGAUGGUAUGUAGCCAACAAUCCAAGAGAGAUGGAAGGAAGUAAAAGACCACGAAAACCAAAUUGGACAGAAGAGCAGUGUUUACUUUUAGCUCAGUUAGUUGAAGAAAAGAAAGCAAUUUUAAAAGGUAAAUUUGGCUCCGGUGUCACAGCUCAAGGAAAGAGGCAGACCUGGGAGAAAAUAUCUCAGCAGAUAAACUCCUCUUUCCCUCUGGUUGUGCGCACCAGUGAGGAAUGUGAAAAGCGGUGGUAUGUGUUGCAGUCUCAAGCCAGGAGGGAGAUUGCAGCACACAAACGGGAUUCUUCAAGCACAGGUGGAGGACCACCCGCUAAACAACUGUCUCAGGUAGCGGAAACUGUAUUUAAUGUACUUGGACACUCAGAAAUAUCUGUCACUGGGCUGAAGGAAGGCACAGACAGCUCAAUGAUCCAGCUAAUGGGAAUACAAAGCAUGGAACCGUCAGAGGAACCGCAACCGUCAACGUCGCAGGUGUGCGACCCUCGGCCAGUGUAUCAGAUAAGCCAGCCUGCUGCAGCCACCUCAACACCAUCCCUGCUGGACAGAAAAUUGGAGAUCAAAAUUGAUACUCUCACACAGCACAAAAAAGUUCUCUGCUUACAGGAGGAGUAUUAUAAGCUAAAAAUUGAGCUGCUAAAAUAUAAAAAGAAUGAAAAAUAAAAAGUGUAUCAUGGUAA